AGAGCGUCUUCUCGGGCCUGGGCGGCGCAGACGAGGCCUGAGGCGGCGGCGGCGCGAGGCAGUUCCAGCUAUUCUUCAGAUGCUCUGGAUUUUGAGACGGAGCACAAAUUGGACCCUGUAUUUGAUUCUCCACGGAUGUCCCGCCGUAGUUUGCGCCUGGCCACGACAGCAUGCACCCUGGGGGAUGGUGAGGCUGUGGGUGCCAACAGCGGCACCAGCAGCGCUGUCUCCCUGAAGAACCGAGCGGCCAGAACAGCAAAACAGCGCAGAAGCACAAACAAAUCAGCUUUUAGUAUCAACCACGUGUCAAGGCAGGUCACAUCCUCUGGCGUCAGCCAUGGCGGCACUGUCAGCCUGCAGGAUGCUGUGACUCGACGGCCUCCUGUAUUGGACGAGUCUUGGAUUCGUGAACAGACUACAGUGGACCACUUCUGGGGAUGUUUGAACAAAGACAAUCCAAAAACUUCAGUGUGUUUCCAAGAAAGCUCUAAGCAGUGAAGCAGCCAGGGUUAGAGAGUUCUUA
Molecule: small RNA, 523 nt
Filed under: Pan troglodytes (chimpanzee)
Lineage: Eukaryota; Metazoa; Chordata; Mammalia; Primates; Hominidae
Description: processed transcript
Source: RNAcentral